CUACAAUGGGUAGUACAGUAGGUUGCAAUAGAGCGAUCUGGAGCUAAUCCACAAAGCUAUCCUCAGUUCAGAUUGCAGGCUGAAAUUCGCCUGCAUGAAGAUGGAGUUGCUAGUAACCGCAGGUCAGCAAUACUGCGGUGAAUACGUUCCCGGGUCUU
This 158-nucleotide ribosomal RNA is filed under the name uncultured Chloroflexota bacterium. RNAcentral describes it as "uncultured Chloroflexi bacterium partial 16S ribosomal RNA". It matches the Rfam family "Bacterial small subunit ribosomal RNA", at positions 1225 to 1382 of the family's 1533-position model. Lineage: Bacteria; Bacillati; Chloroflexota. The record is from RNAcentral.